AAGAGUUGCAAAACUCCAACCAUUGUUAACCUUACUGUUAUUCGUUUCCCUCGGCGGGCGGCCUUCGCCCUAAACCGCGACCCCCCUUUUGCGGGGGGCGGAGCGACCCGCCGGGGGCACUAAACUCUUAUUAUUAUGGCUUCUGUGAGUAUACUUUUAAAUAAGUUA
Molecule: unclassified non-coding RNA, 168 nt
Filed under: soil metagenome
Description: partial internal transcribed spacer 1
Source: RNAcentral